AAAUAAGAAGUAAAAUUUACAUUUAGUUUCGACCUAAAACCAUGGUAUAAAAUACCCUUAUUUA
RNAcentral lists this transfer RNA (64 nucleotides) under Neoporus sp. NHM-IR594. Its description in RNAcentral is "tRNA-Arg". The record is from RNAcentral. Lineage: Eukaryota; Metazoa; Arthropoda; Insecta; Coleoptera; Dytiscidae.